UCACUGAAAAAACAGUUAGAAGACAGAAUUAGAGAUCUGGAACGUGCACUGGGAAGGACAAAAAGCAACCAAGCAGAAAGACCUUUUCAAAAGGAAUCCACCCAGGCAGAAGUGGACAAGUACAAAGAGCUGUAUCUGGUGGAAGCCCAAAGAAGAAAAAGCCUCACCAAGAAACUGGAAAGAGCUACUGAGAGACUUGCAGAGGCCAACACCAAGCUCUUUUUGGAGCGCCACAGAAGCAGAUCUGCGGUCCCAAGCAGCGCUGUCAGCGGACUUCUGGCUGCAAGUCCACUUCUGGAUUCACCUGGCCUGGGACAUCUUGGCCUCAGUUUGGGACUGAGCAGAAGUCUGGCUCUCAGAACACCACCCAGACACCUGUGGUAAAGCCCAAGACUUCUGCUCAUCAGGACAUCCUGUGAGGGACCGUUCAGAUGGAUGGAACAAAUUGCUUCCUUUCCUUAAUUUCGACACCCAUGGCCUAGUAGCCAAUUUCCUUAAUGGUGGCCUUCAAGGUUUGGUAGCAAAGACUCCAAGAUCAGCUCUAACCCAUCCCUACAUUGCUCAGCGACAAUGAUCCUAGUGGUGAAGGCAGCGAAAAUGCUACUUAAAAUUGGAGAGGUGGUGCUGCAUUGGUCCCCUUGUUGUACGAAAGGAAUCGCUGGAGCUUUGGGGACAAGAAGUGCCAACGGCCACGACAACUGUACACAGGCAACAGUAUCGGACGAACCGAGAUGCUGUGACCCCCAUCCAUAAGAUGAUCUGGAAGUUGGAGAGCCAAGGGGUGGUCAGCAGAACACACUCACCCUUCAACAGCCCCGUCUGGCCUGUAAGUCCGAUGGAGAGUGGAGACUGACUGUGGACUAUUGUGGCUUAAAUGAAGUCACGCCGCCAUUGAGUGCCGCUGUGCCAGACAUGUUGGAGCUCCAGGACGAGCUGGAGUCCAAAACAGCAAAGUGGUACGUCACCAUCGACAUUGCCAACGCGUUUUUCUCCAUUCCCUCAGCAGCAGAGUGCAGGCCACAGUUUGCUUUCACCUGGAGGGGCGUUCAGUACACCUGGAAUCGACUGCCCCAGUGUGGAAGCACAGUCCAACCAUCUGCCAUGGACUGAUUCAGGCCACACUAGAGAAGGAUGAGGCUCUAGAACACAUCCAGUACAUCGAUGACAUCAUUGUGUGGGGGGACACAGCAGAAGAAGUUUUCGAGAAAGGACAGAAGAUCAUCCAGAUUCUCCUCAGGGCUGGUUUUGCCAUCAAGAAGAGUAAGGUCAAGGGCCCUGCCCAAGAGAUCCAGUUCCUAGGGCUGAAAUGGCAAAUGGACGACACCAGAUACCAACAGAUGUCCUCAACAAGAUUGUAGCAAUGGCUCCACCCACAAACAAGAAAGAAACCCAAGCUUUUCUGGGAGCCAUUGGCUUCUGGAGGAUGCACAUCCCAGAGUACAGCCAGAUGGUGAGCCCUCUUUACUUUG
Pipra filicauda (Wire-tailed manakin) is the source of this 1469-nucleotide long non-coding RNA. RefSeq lists it as uncharacterized. The transcript has 3 exons. Lineage: Eukaryota; Metazoa; Chordata; Aves; Passeriformes; Pipridae. The record is from RefSeq and is a predicted model, not a curated record.